This is a non-coding RNA of Triticum aestivum (bread wheat), 135 nucleotides long. The record is from Rfam. NCBI's taxonomy places the organism in Eukaryota, Viridiplantae, Streptophyta, Magnoliopsida, Poales, Poaceae.
GUACUACUUCCUUCGUCCGAAAAUACUUGUUAUCAAAAUGGAUAAAAAAAGAUGUAUCUAGAACUAAAAUACGUCUAGAUGCAUCCAAUUUUAUUUAUUUUGAUGACAAGUAUUUACGAACGGAGGGAGUAUAUC